This 393-nucleotide ribosomal RNA is filed under the name uncultured bacterium. Its description in RNAcentral is "partial 16S ribosomal RNA". It matches the Rfam family "Bacterial small subunit ribosomal RNA", at positions 523 to 918 of the family's 1533-position model. The record is from RNAcentral.
AUACGUAGGGGGCAAGCGUUAUCCGGAAUCAUUGGGCGUAAAGAGUGCGUAGGUGGUUUCUUAAGCGUGGGGUUUAAGGCUACGGCUUAACCGUAGUUCGCCCCAUGAACUGGGAGACUUGAGUGCAGGAGGGGAAAGUGGAAUUCCUAGUGUAGCGGUGAAAUGCGUAGAUAUUAGGAGGAACACCAGUGGCGAAGGCGACUUUCUGGACUGUAACUGACACUGAGGCACGAAAGCGUGGGGAGCAAACAGGAUUAGAUACCCUGGUAGUCCACGCCGUAAACGAUGAGCACUAGGUGUCGGGGAGACAAUCCUCGGUGCCGCAGUUAACGCAUUAAGUGCUCCGCCUGGGGAGUACGUUCGCAAGAAUAAAACUCAAAGGAAUUGACGGGG